This is a long non-coding RNA of Penaeus chinensis, 2083 nucleotides long. RefSeq lists it as uncharacterized. The transcript is spliced from 2 exons. Lineage: Eukaryota; Metazoa; Arthropoda; Malacostraca; Decapoda; Penaeidae. The record is from RefSeq and is a predicted model, not a curated record.
UCCCACCUGUAAGCAAUACAUAUACACCACAUCUGGUACUAAAGGAUGCAUGAAGGGGUUUGUCAUUAGAUUGGUACUCAGACAUUUCCUCUGUCUCAAUGACGAUUUAUAUAUAACUCAGUACUCACAAAAUAAUACAAUAAAGACAAGGAUUUCCAAUGACUGGCAAUGAGUCAUUUCAUUUUACAAACGCAUGAGUCAAUCGGGUUACGGUAGGUGUGGACGGUGGGCGGAGUAAAAAGAUUACGUCAUCGUCGAGACGCGACACUCUAAAGUGAUUCGUGCUCAGCAUAAGGUAAGCGCCAAUCAGGGCUCUCGCUCGCCAGUACUACGCUCUCAUUGGACAGAUGCCAUGCGUGGCAACUGUGACGUGGGGGACUGCCCAUUCUCUGUACAACUAUUAGAGCUGCUACAGACUGCGUGAAGUUUUAGUUUCGUCUCGACAUUAGUGUGGUGAACUUCAACAUUACAACAUUGUGACUCUCUUGAAUGGCGACGGUAUUUAACUUCGGUGAACACGACCGCGUGGAAAAUUAAACAUUUUCGAUGUCAGUUUCCUGAAGGAAAACUUGCAUGACAAAAUUGCCUGAAAUAUGCACGGUGAUUAAUGUAUAUAUUGGAAGAAGUAAUUAUUACUGAAUACGUGUGACAAGGAUUAAGUAUAUUAUAAGAAUAUCGUUCAAGCAAAGAAAACUAUAAGAAUAAUCACUAGACAUAAUUUGGCAGUAACCCCACGGUGCAUAGAUAGUGGAAAGGUGCUGGUCAUCGACAUACAAAGAAAAAUAUAAUGACUAGAGGAGUGAAAAGAGUAGAAAAGAUGGUGAAGACGUCUGCGGCUUUGUUUACAAAAGGGUGCUUCGGCAGCUGGCACCGUCUGCCCGAGCGUUCGAAGUUAAAGAGACAGGCUAGAUUGAGGCGACAGCUUCAAGAACAUUCAAGAAUUACAGCUAUAAAGGAUUCCUACCUGAAUUGUGUGGUUAUAUGUUAAGAUUGUAAACUAAGUAAAUAAUUAAUGACUCUCAGGUGUGUCAUAGAGUUGUCACUGUAGGGUAAAUGUCAGUGAGACAGGUAUAUGAGGUAUGUGUGACAGGUAAUGUGGUUUCCCUAUGUGCCUACGUUUCAGUCAAUAUUAACAAUUGUCUUUGUAAACUACAGAAGGUUCCGUUUAACGCAUUCAAAGGUUGAAUACCCUCGUGAGUACUUAGGUAAGGGUGACGGAUGAUUCAUCUCCUUUCUUAGCUUCCGUGACUCACUGAGGCCGACCCGACACCCAGGCACCCACCGAGGUAGAAUUAGUUACUUGCUAUAUGACCACAUUUGGCUUUCCGCCUUCAGUAUGGCAUCCUCGCACACACCCUCAUGCCCCCAUAUGGAUUUGGCAGCUGUUUCUGUGAGGCUAUAUCUCUAAGGUGGAUGUCUGUGAGCAUUGCCAACAGUUUUUCUCCGUAAAACAUCCGCGGAGUUCUCUUUUAUGUGUGUGGCACGCCUAGCUGACGAGAUCUGACGCCCCGGGAGUGGCCUGUACACUCGAAAGGUUAAAUAUAUCGCGAGGUAGUCAUUUAGUGUUAAACCUAUGCCUUCUUGUACGGUAAAAUGUCAAGAAAUCAGAUGAUCUGUUAACCUUCUUUCCUUUUGGCAGGUGGACUGUGACAUGAAGGAGAGUAAGCAGUGCCGGUAAAGUUUGCCAGUUCGUCAGAAAUCCAUGGCAACCGCCAUUCAUCGGCACGACAGAUGACAGGCCAAAAGACGGGGAAAGAAGCGGGACAGUGUGUCAAGGUGGCCUGUACGCGGAUGUGUUCACCGCCACGACGGCCGCUUACAUCACGAGUACGCGAUCAGGAACGACAUGCCAGGAUCGUGUCGCUGAGAUCAAAGGAUAAUUUGGACGGUGACGCAUCUGGGACACCUUGUUGUCAGUGUCAUUAAUCACUACAUCUUCGAGGAAUGUCUGGCACGUAAGUUUAUUUAUUACCUAUUAUCGAGUUCUGCGUAAAGACUGAGGCACACUCCCCUGUUGCUUACAACACGGAGAGCAGGCCUUGUGGUCUGUGCUCUGGUAGAAUAAACGUGAAAACGCGUGGAA